GUUCGGCUAAAGAGUCCCAUGUAGGACGAAACGCGCUUCCUGGAU
This 45-nucleotide non-coding RNA is filed under the name Schistosoma curassoni. The record is from RNAcentral. Lineage: Eukaryota; Metazoa; Platyhelminthes; Trematoda; Strigeidida; Schistosomatidae.